This 58-nucleotide ribosomal RNA is filed under the name Penicillium atrofulvum. RNAcentral describes it as "5.8S ribosomal RNA". It matches the Rfam family "5.8S ribosomal RNA", at positions 100 to 154 of the family's 154-position model. Rfam says of the family: 5.8S ribosomal RNA (5.8S rRNA) is a component of the large subunit of the eukaryotic ribosome. It is transcribed by RNA polymerase I as part of the 45S precursor that also contains 18S and 28S rRNA. Functionally, it is thought that 5.8S rRNA may be involved in ribosome translocation. The record is from RNAcentral. Lineage: Eukaryota; Fungi; Ascomycota; Eurotiomycetes; Eurotiales; Aspergillaceae.
UUGAACGCACAUUGCGCCCUCUGGUAUUCCGGAGGGCAUGCCUGUCCGAGCGUCAUUG